UUGGUUUGUUUUUGGUGGUUGGCUCUCUGCUUGCGCAACAACUACCACCUGGCAUACCUCUUCAAUUACACGCCAAGGUUUUAUUACCUUGAGCGCGUUGUGGGUUUCUGUGUUGUUUACCUGUGUGAUGGUAUUGUUUGGAUCAUCAAAGUCAGUUUCGUCUUUCGUCAUGCUUUUUGACGUAGGAUGAACCUUAAAGUGAUCUGUAUGGUCUACCUUGUUGAUGCAGAUGCGUUGAUGCUGUGGCCCAUUGAGAUUGCUUGGUUUUGUGGAUAUGGAACAUGAUGUGGGCACGAGGAAUCACAUGAUCCUUGUUUUGUCCAUGUUGAGCGUUAUCGUUUCUCUAAGACGACUGUCUAGCCCGAAUUGGCUCGUACCACCGGGUGUGAUAUGUUGUCAAUGAGAGAUGCUAUCGUUCCUACUCCUUAAAAACGACCCUAGCCCGUAUUGGCCUGUACCAGCGGGUGGGUAAUGUCGAAGAGGGAUGCUACCUGGUUGAUCCUGCCAGUAGUCAUAUGCUUGUCUCAA
Molecule: unclassified non-coding RNA, 528 nt
Filed under: Pluchea polygonata
Lineage: Eukaryota; Viridiplantae; Streptophyta; Magnoliopsida; Asterales; Asteraceae
Description: contains 3 external transcribed spacer, ETS
Source: RNAcentral